This 253-nucleotide ribosomal RNA is filed under the name uncultured bacterium. Its description in RNAcentral is "partial 16S ribosomal RNA". It matches the Rfam family "Bacterial small subunit ribosomal RNA", at positions 524 to 776 of the family's 1533-position model. The record is from RNAcentral.
UACAGAGGGGGCAAGCGUUGUCCGGACUUACUGGGUGUAAAGCGCAUGUAGGCGGUAGCGCAAGUCGGGCGUGAAAUCCCACGGCUCAACCGUGGAAGUGCACUCGAAACUGCGCAGCUAGAGUCCUGGAGAGGAAGGUGGAAUGCUUGGUGUAGAGGUGAAAUUCGUAGAUAUCAAGCGGAACACCGGUGGCGAAGGCGGCCUUCUGGACAGUGACUGACACUGAGAUGCGAAAGCGUGGGGAGCAAACAGG